Molecule: ribosomal RNA, 240 nt
Filed under: uncultured bacterium
Lineage: Bacteria
Description: partial 16S ribosomal RNA
Rfam family: Bacterial small subunit ribosomal RNA
Source: RNAcentral
AGCGGCGGACGGGUGAGUAACGCGUGGGUAACCUGCCUCAUACAGGGGGAUAACAGCUAGAAAUGACUGCUAAUACCGCAUAAGACCACGGUACCGCAUGGUACAGUGGUAAAAACUCCGGUGGUAUGAGAUGGACCCGCGUCUGAUUAGGUAGUUGGUGGGGUAACGGCCUACCAAGCCGACGAUCAGUAGCCGACCUGAGAGGGUGACCGGCCACAUUGGGACUGAGACACGGCCCAG